GUUAAAAAGCUCGUAGUUGAAACUUGGGCCUGGCUGGCGGGUCCGCCUCACCGCGUGCACUCGUCCGGCCGGGCCUUCCUUCUGAAGAACCUCAUGCCCUUCACUGGGCGUGCUGGGGAAUCAGGACUUUUACUUUGAAAAAAUUAGAAGUGUUCAAAGCAGGCCUUUGCUCGAAUACGUUAGCAUGGAAUAAUAAAAUAGGGCGUGCGUUUCUAUUUUGUUGGUUUCUAGAGACGCCGCAAUGAUUAACAGGAACAGUCGGGGGCAUCAGUAUUCAGUUGUCAGAGGUGAAAUUCUUGGAUUUACUGAAGACUAACUACUGCGAAAGCAUUUGCCAAGGAUGUUUUCAUUAAUCAGUGAACGAAAGUUAGGGGAUCGAAGACGAUCAGAUACCGUCGUAGUCUUAACCGUAAACUAUGCCGACUAGGGAUCGGGCGAUGUUCUUUUUCUGACUCGCUCGGCACCUUACGAGAAAUCAAAGUUUUUGGGUUCUGGGGGGAUUAUGGUCGCAAGGCUGAAACUUAAAGAAAUUGACGGAAGGUCACCACCAGGCGUGGAGCCUGCGGCUUAAUUUGACUCAACACGGGGAAACUCACCAGGUCCAGAUGAAAUAAGGAUUGACAGAUUGAGAGCUCUUUCUUGAUUUUUCAGGUGGUGGUGCAUGGCCGUUCUUAGUUCGUGGGGUGACUUGUCUGCUUAAUUGCGAUAACGAGCGAGACCUUACUCUGCUAAAUAGCCAGGCUAACUUUGGUUGGUCGCCGGCUUCUUAGAGAGACUAUCAACUCAAGUUGAUGGAAGUUUGAGGCAAUAACAGGUCUGUGAUGCCCUUAGAUGUUUGGGCCGCACGCGCGCUACACUGACAGAGCCAACGAGUUCUUUUCCUUGUUCGAAAGAAUUGGGUAAUCUUGUUAAACUCUGUCGUGCUGGGGAUAAAGCAUUGCAAUUAUUGCUUUUCAACGA
Molecule: ribosomal RNA, 960 nt
Filed under: uncultured eukaryote
Lineage: Eukaryota
Description: SSU rRNA
Rfam family: Eukaryotic small subunit ribosomal RNA
Source: RNAcentral